AACGGUCUAUACCUGCGGUACCUGCGGAAGGAUCAUUCAUAAUAAAAGUGAAAUAAAUUAUGGCACUUUUAAAACAAUCCAUAUCCACCUUGUGUGCAAUGUUUUUUUUAUAUCAACUCUUUUAAAUACAAAUUGAUCUGAAAUUAUUUUAUAUGAAUACUUAAUUCAAAAAUAUAACUUUUAGCAAUGGAUCUCU
RNAcentral lists this unclassified non-coding RNA (196 nucleotides) under soil metagenome. RNAcentral describes it as "partial contains 5.8S ribosomal RNA, internal transcribed spacer 2, and large subunit ribosomal RNA". The record is from RNAcentral.